CAAUCGAACGUGGAGAUAGCUGGUUCUCCCCGAAAUAGCUUUAGGGCUAGCCUCAAGUGGUGAUUACAGGCGGUAGAGCACUGAUCAGGAGCGGGACCUACCCGGUUACCAAACCCAGUCAAACUCCGAAUGGCUGUAAUCAAACUUGGGAGUCAGACUACGACUUAUAAGGGCCGUGGUCAAGAGGGAAACAGCCCAGAUCAUCAGCUAAGGUCCCAAAUGCCGUGCUAAGUGGCGAAGGAUGUGGCGUUUCAUAAACAACCAGGAUGUUGGCUUAGAAGCAGCCAUCAUUUAAAGAGUGCGUAAUAGCCCACUGGUCGAGAGACGCUGCGCCGAAGAUGUCCGGGGCUCAAGCACGGAACCGAAGCUAUGGCAGACGCAAGCCGUCUGGGUAGGGGAGCGUUCUUAUUGGGGAGAAGCGAUACCGGAAGGAGUCGUGGACUGAUAAGAAGUGAGAAUGCUGGUAUGAGUAUCGAAAAGAAAGGUGAGAAUCCUUUCCACCGAAAGCCCGAGGGUUCCUGAGCAACGAUCGUCGUCUCAGGGUAAGUCGGGACCUAAGCCGAGGCGGAAAAGCGUAGGCGAUGGACAACAGGUUGAAAUUCCUGUACCGGUGUGAAUCGUUUGAUCGAUGGAGUGACACAGUAAGGUAGGUCAGCACGCGAUUGGAAGUGCGUGUUUAAGCAUGUAGGUUGAGCUAUAGGCAAAUCCGUAGCUCUAAAAGCUGAGAUGUGAUGACGAGUUACUAGCGAUAGUAACGAAGUGAUUGAUCCUACACUGUCGAGAAAAGCUUCUAGGUAGAGACACAUCGCCCGUACCAAAACCGACACAGGUAGGCGGGGAGAGAAUCCUAAGGUGCGCGGGAAAACCCUCGUUAAGGAACUCGGCAAAAUGCCUCCGUAACUUCGGGAAAAGGAGGACUCAUGUAGUGUGAAGUGCAGCAACGCAUGGAGCAUGAAUGAGUGGCACAAGAGAGGCGCAAGCGACUGUUUACCACAAACACAGGUGCCUGCUAAAGCGAAAGCUGAUGUAUAGGUGCUGACACCUGCCCGGUGCUGGAAGGUUAAGAGGAGGGGUUAGACUUCGGUCGAAGCUCUGAAUUGAAGCCCCAGUAAACGGCGGCCGUAACUAUAACGGUCCUAAGGUAGCGAAAUUCCUUGUCGGGUAAGUUCCGACCCGCACGAAAGGUGUAACGACUUGCGCACUGUCUCAACGAGGGACCCGGUGAAAUUGAAGUACCUGUGAAGAUGCAGGUUACCCGCGACUGGACAGAAAGACCCCAUGGAGCUUUACUGCAACCUAAGAUUGAACUUAGUUAAUGAAUGUACAGGAUAGGUGGGAGACGUAGAACCUAGGACGCCAGUUUUAGGGGAGUCAUUGUUGGGAUACCACCCUUUCAUUAAUUGAUUUCUAACGGGCCGAGUAACGACCGGCCGGACAGUCUUAGGCGGGCAGUUUGACUGGGGCGGUCGCCUCCUAAAGAGUAACGGAGGCGCCCAAAGGUUCCCUCAGAGCGGACGGAAAUCGCUCGAAGAGUGUAAAGGCAGAAGGGAGCUUGACUGCGAGACGGACAGGUCGAGCAGGGACGAAAGUCGGGCUUAGUGAUCCGGUGGUGCCGAGUGGAAGGGCCAUCGCUCAACGGAUAAAAGCUACCCUGGGGAUAACAGGCUAAUCUCUCCCAAGAGUCCAUAUCGACGGGGAGGUUUGGCACCUCGAUGUCGGCUCAUCACAUCCUGGGGCUGUAGUAGGUCCCAAGGGUUGGGCUGUUCGCCCAUUAAAGUGGUACGCGAGCUGGGUUCAAAACGUCGUGAGACAGUUUGGUUCAUAUCCAUCGCGGGCGUAAGAAGUUUGAGGGGGGCUGCUCCUAGUACGAGAGGACCGGAGUGGACGAAUCAAUGGUGUACCAGUUGUCACGCCAGUGGCAUGGCUGGAAAGCCACAUUCGGAAGGGAUAAACGCUGAAAGCAUCUAAGCGUGAAGCCCACCCCAAGAUGAGACUUCUCAUCAGAAAUGAGUAAGAUCCCUUAUAGACUAUGAGGUAGAUAGGCCGCAAGUGGAAGAGCAGUGAUGUUUGGAGCGAUGCGGUACUAAUAGAUCGAGGUCUUAACUUA
Molecule: ribosomal RNA, 2107 nt
Filed under: human gut metagenome
Description: bacterial LSU rRNA
Rfam family: Bacterial large subunit ribosomal RNA
Source: RNAcentral